Molecule: unclassified non-coding RNA, 220 nt
Filed under: plant metagenome
Description: partial contains small subunit ribosomal RNA, internal transcribed spacer 1, and 5.8S ribosomal RNA
Source: RNAcentral
UUUUCGUAGGUGAACCUGCGGAAGGAUCAUUACAGAGUUCAUGCCCUCACGGGCAGAUCUCCCACCCUUGAAUAUUUAUACCUUAGUUGCUUUGGCAGGCCGUGGAAACACCAUGGGCUCCGGCUUAUGCGUGCCUGCCAGAGGAAACAAACUCUGUUUUUAGUGAUGUCUGAGUACUAUAUAAUAGUUAAAACUUUCAACAACGGAUCUCUUGGUUCUG